AACGAACGCUGGCGGCAGGCCUAACACAUGCAAGUCGAACGCCCUAGCAAUAGGGAGUGGCAGACGGGUGAGUAACGCGUGGGAAUAUCCCCCUCAGUACGGAAUAGCCCAGGGAAACUUGGAGUAAUACCGUAUACGUCCGUAAGGAGAAAGAUUUAUCGCUGAGGGAUUAGCCCGCGUCGGAUUAGCUAGUUGGUGAGGUAAUGGCUCACCAAGGCGACGAUCCGUAGCUGGUCUGAGAGGAUGAUCAGCCACACUGGGACUGAGACACGGCCCAGACUCCUACGGGAGGCAGCAGUGGGGAAUAUUGGACAAUGGGCGCAAGCCUGAUCCAGCCAUGCCGCGUGAGUGACGAAGGCCUUAGGGUUGUAAAGCUCUUUUGUCGGGGACGAUAAUGACGGUACCCGAAGAAUAAGCUCCGGCUAACUUCGUG
This 433-nucleotide ribosomal RNA is filed under the name uncultured organism. Its description in RNAcentral is "bacterial SSU rRNA". It matches the Rfam family "Bacterial small subunit ribosomal RNA", at positions 29 to 507 of the family's 1533-position model. The record is from RNAcentral.